Molecule: ribosomal RNA, 464 nt
Filed under: Streptococcus australis
Lineage: Bacteria; Bacillati; Bacillota; Bacilli; Lactobacillales; Streptococcaceae
Description: bacterial SSU rRNA
Rfam family: Bacterial small subunit ribosomal RNA
Source: RNAcentral
GAUGAACGCUGGCGGCGUGCCUAAUACAUGCAAGUAGAACGCUGAAGGAAGGAGCUUGCUCUUUCCGGAUGAGUUGCGAACGGGUGAGUAACGCGUAGGUAACCUGCCUGGUAGCGGGGGAUAACUAUUGGAAACGAUAGCUAAUACCGCAUAACAGUAGAUGUUGCAUGACAUCUGCUUGAAAGGGGCAAUUGCUCCACUACCAGAUGGACCUGCGUUGUAUUAGCUAGUUGGUGAGGUAACGGCUCACCAAGGCGACGAUACAUAGCCGACCUGAGAGGGUGAUCGACCACACUGGGACUGAGACACGGCCCAGACUCCUACGGGAGGCAGCAGUAGGGAAUCUUCGGCAAUGGACGGAAGUCUGACCGAGCAACGCCGCGUGAGUGAAGAAGGUUUUCGGAUCGUAAAGCUCUGUUGUAAGAGAAGAACGAGUGUGAGAGUGGAAAGUUCACACUGUGACG